Molecule: non-coding RNA, 1428 nt
Organism: Lactuca sativa (garden lettuce)
Lineage: Eukaryota; Viridiplantae; Streptophyta; Magnoliopsida; Asterales; Asteraceae
Source: RefSeq, a predicted model, not a curated record
AUAUCCAAUGUAUUGCUCCAUACUUAUGUCCGUGUCCCGAGUUCGAUCCUCACAAUUUUUUUUUUGGUUCCCGCUUACCUCUGCUCAUCUUCGUGAUCGGCGUUCUCUUUUGCGUCCACCGGUUCCGCCAGCGACACAACCUUCCGCCACUGCCGCCGUUCUUCAGCCCUGCUCCUCCGCCAGCGCCGCUUGAAUCACUCCCCUUAUGUCGUUACCGAUUAACCAUAAAUACCAUAGCAGGCUUCAAUCGUUUUCUUCAAUUGAAGCUUCAAUCGCUCAUGUCAUCGUUUUGUUCAGUCAGUAGGCUCAGUCAAAGGUUCAAACCUGCUCAAUCGACGACUAACCAUGCUCAAUCACCGCCCAAACCUGCUCAAUUGAAAGCAAACUCAAAACAACUUAAAAUCGUUCUUCGAAUUCAAAUCACAAGUUCUCCAAGUCACAAAUGAAUUCAACAAAAAAUGAGCUAACAGAAAAAUAGCGAUUUCCAGAUUCAGGGUAAGGGAGGUACUUGUUACUUCAAGAGCGAGUAAAUGCCAGUCGUCGUCCGAGGGAGUAGUCGCCACCGGAGAAUCCACCACCGAUCAACGUCGUUUGUUCUCCGUGUGUCGAGACUCACAGGUAUGUUCUAAGUUUUCCUUAAAUCUAUUUUCAUGUUUUUUUUGUUAACAUGGUUUAUAAUAGGCAUUUGGUGUAGUUGCUUCCAUGAUCAGUUUAACUAAAAAUGGUGUUCAAACAUCUGUCGAGUCUUUCAUUAGUUAUACAUUAUAAGUGUGUUUCGAAUUAAGCAACUAUGUAUCAUAUCUUACCCUUCUAAAGGUGGUUGUAUUUUGGAGUAUUGGAAACACGUUGCUGCAUUUCAGCCUUGAGAGUGACCUAUGUGCUCCAAUCCAAUUAUCAAAUUGACCCUGGAAGCAACAUUAUCCCAACAACAGGAUGCAAGGAUCCAUGAUGUUCUCAAGAAUGUUAGGCAGUACAAUUGCCUUUUUGCUGGUGGUGCUUGCAGUUUCAUUCUGGUAGGUUACUUGACUGUUGGCACCAGACAUUGAAGGGGGUAGUUUCGUCUUUUCCCUAAGUUUUUUUUCUUCUUGAAGCAAUUCUGAAGAAAUCUGAUGAUUGUGACUUUCUUGUGACAGCAAGUGCUUUAGUUGCCUUUAUUUGUCAAGAGAUUGCUUCAAGCAAUGGUGGAUCCUGACAGACCUGUUGCUUAUCUUAGCAGAUUGCUUUAGUUGCAGUGUUUCUUGGUGCUCUUUAUACACUUAGCCCUUUUGACAUCCUCCCAUGAUGUUGGAGCCUGUGAUCAUCAGCUAUAUACAAUGAUCUUGAUUACAUUCGUUGUUACAAUUUUUCAUAUUUUUGGUGUAUUUUAUAUGGUAUUUGGGACAAAUUUGAAUUGAAUAUGGUAUUUAAUAAAAAAUUGGAAGUUUAUAA